This 1276-nucleotide ribosomal RNA is filed under the name uncultured Acinetobacter sp. RNAcentral describes it as "bacterial SSU rRNA". It matches the Rfam family "Bacterial small subunit ribosomal RNA", at positions 146 to 1415 of the family's 1533-position model. The record is from RNAcentral. Lineage: Bacteria; Pseudomonadati; Pseudomonadota; Gammaproteobacteria; Moraxellales; Moraxellaceae.
ACAUCUCGAAAGGGAUGCUAAUACCGCAUACGUCCUACGGGAGAAAGCAGGGGAUCACUUGUGACCUUGCGCUAAUAGAUGAGCCUAAGUCGGAUUAGCUAGUUGGUGGGGUAAAGGCCUACCAAGGCGACGAUCUGUAGCGGGUCUGAGAGGAUGAUCCGCCACACUGGGACUGAGACACGGCCCAGACUCCUACGGGAGGCAGCAGUGGGGAAUAUUGGACAAUGGGGGGAACCCUGAUCCAGCCAUGCCGCGUGUGUGAAGAAGGCCUUAUGGUUGUAAAGCACUUUAAGCGAGGAGGAGGCUCUUUUGGUUAAUACCCAAGAUGAGUGGACGUUACUCGCAGAAUAAGCACCGGCUAACUCUGUGCCAGCAGCCGCGGUAAUACAGAGGGUGCAAGCGUUAAUCGGAUUUACUGGGCGUAAAGCGCGCGUAGGCGGCUAAUUAAGUCAAAUGUGAAAUCCCCGAGCUUAACUUGGGAAUUGCAUUCGAUACUGGUUGGCUAGAGUGUGGGAGAGGAUGGUAGAAUUCCAGGUGUAGCGGUGAAAUGCGUAGAGAUCUGGAGGAAUACCGAUGGCGAAGGCAGCCAUCUGGCCUAACACUGACGCUGAGGUGCGAAAGCAUGGGGAGCAAACAGGAUUAGAUACCCUGGUAGUCCAUGCCGUAAACGAUGUCUACUAGCCGUUGGGGCCUUUGAGGCUUUAGUGGCGCAGCUAACGCGAUAAGUAGACCGCCUGGGGAGUACGGCCGCAAGGUUAAAACUCAAAUGAAUUGACGGGGGCCCGCACAAGCGGUGGAGCAUGUGGUUUAAUUCGAUGCAACGCGAAGAACCUUACCUGGUCUUGACAUCCACAGAACUUAGCAGAGAUGCUUUGGUGCCUUCGGGAACUGUGAGACAGGUGCUGCAUGGCUGUCGUCAGCUCGUGUUGUGAAAUGUUGGGUUAAGUCCCGCAACGAGCGCAACCCUUAUCCUUUGUUGCCAGCGGUUAGGCCGGGAACUCAAAGGAGACUGCCAGUGAUAAACUGGAGGAAGGUGGGGAUGACGUCAAGUCAUCAUGGCCCUUACGACCAGGGCUACACACGUGCUACAAUGGCGCAUACAAAGAGAAGCGACCUCGCGAGAGCAAGCGGACCUCAUAAAGUGCGUCGUAGUCCGGAUUGGAGUCUGCAACUCGACUCCAUGAAGUCGGAAUCGCUAGUAAUCGUAGAUCAGAAUGCUACGGUGAAUACGUUCCCGGGCCUUGUACACACCGCCCGUCACACCAUGGGAGUGGGU